UCUUGACAUCCUCUGACAAUCCUAGAGAUAGGACGUCCCCUUCGGGGGCAGAGUGACAGGUGGUGCAUGGUUGUCGUCAGCUCGUGUCGUGAGAUGUUGGGUUAAGUCCCGCAACGAGCGCAACCCUUGAUCUUAGUUGCCAGCAUUCAGUUGGGCACUCUAAGGUGACUGCCGGUGACAAACCGGAGGAAGGUGGGGAUGACGUCAAAUCAUCAUGCCCCUUAUGACCUGGGCUACACACGUGCUACAAUGGACAGAACAAAGGGCAGCGAAACCGCGAGGUUAAGCCAAUCCCACAAAUCUGUUCUCAGUUCGGAUCGCAGUCUGCAACUCGACUGCGUGAAGCUGGAAUCGCUAGUAAUCGCGGAUCAGCAUGCCGCGGUGAAUACGUUCCCGGGCCUUGUACACACCGCCCGUCACACCACGAGAGUUUGUAACACCCGAAGUCGGUGAGGUAACCUUUUAGGAGCCAGCCGCCGAAGGUGGGACAGAUGAUUGGGGUGAAGUCGUAACAAGGUAGCCGUAUCGGAAGGUGCGGCUGGAUCACCUCCUUU
RNAcentral lists this ribosomal RNA (554 nucleotides) under Listeria monocytogenes. RNAcentral describes it as "bacterial SSU rRNA". It matches the Rfam family "Bacterial small subunit ribosomal RNA", at positions 979 to 1533 of the family's 1533-position model. Lineage: Bacteria; Bacillati; Bacillota; Bacilli; Caryophanales; Listeriaceae. The record is from RNAcentral.